GAGACCCGUGCCCACUGUUACCAGCAUGUCCUCCGGGAUGAUGGGUACUCUGUGGGGACCGCCGGUGUUAAAUCGGAGGAAGGUGCGGGCUACGGUAGGUCAGUAUGCCCCGAAUUUCCCGGGCUACACGCGGGCUACAAUGAAUGGGACAAUGGGUCCCCCCCCUGAAAAGGGCUGGUAAUCUCACAAACCCAUCCUUAGUUCGGAUCGAGGGCUGUAACUCGCCCUCGUGAAGCUGGAAUCCGUAGUAAUCGCGUUUCAAUAUAGCGCGGUGAAUAC
RNAcentral lists this ribosomal RNA (279 nucleotides) under uncultured methanogenic archaeon. RNAcentral describes it as "partial 16S rRNA". It matches the Rfam family "Archaeal small subunit ribosomal RNA", at positions 1047 to 1325 of the family's 1478-position model. Lineage: Archaea; Methanobacteriati; Methanobacteriota. The record is from RNAcentral.